CUUUACUGUAGCCUGGAAUUGGGUCCGGGCUUCGCUUGCGCAGGAUAGGUGGGAGGCACUGAAACACUCCUUGUGGGGAGUGUGGAGCCAACGGUGAGAUACCACUCUAGCGAGGCUAGGAUUCUAACUUGUUCCCGUUAUCCGGGAGAAGGACAAUUUCAGGUGGGCAGUUUGACUGGGGCGGUCGCCUCCUAAAAGGUAACGGAGGCGCGCAAAGGUUCCCUCCGGCUGGUUGGAAAUCAGCCCGUGAAGUGCAAAGGCAUAAGGGAGCUUGACUGCAAGAGCCACACCUCGAGCAGGGACGAAAGUCGGCCUUAGUGAUCCGACGGCGCUGAGUGGAAGGGCCGUCGCUCAACGGAUAAAAGUUA
This 368-nucleotide ribosomal RNA is filed under the name uncultured organism. RNAcentral describes it as "bacterial LSU rRNA". It matches the Rfam family "Bacterial large subunit ribosomal RNA", at positions 2099 to 2465 of the family's 2925-position model. The record is from RNAcentral.